Molecule: long non-coding RNA, 882 nt
Filed under: Cricetulus griseus (Chinese hamster)
Lineage: Eukaryota; Metazoa; Chordata; Mammalia; Rodentia; Cricetidae
Description: lncRNA (ENSCGRG00015032805.1)
Source: RNAcentral
GUGAGAUAACAGGUGUCACGGUUCCUGGCUGUGUGGUAAGAGUUAAAAACUCAGACCUGCUGUUUACUUCCUAAUCAAUGUGCGCCACGAAUUGCAGAUGCCCAGGAGGCAUCCCGUGGAGUGUGUGUACACCUGAGCCUGGCGAAGACACACCCCCAACUACCACCACCUGGGGCUGAGGAUCAGAUCUGUAGACUCUCCGUGCAGUAGCGAUCAGAGCUUGAUGAGCCCCCUCCUGGCUGCACUGGAGUGUCAGGAACCAGACCCUAGCAGAGCUCAGCACCCAGCUCCUUUGUCUCGCCCGCCCCCUCGUCCCCACUUCCUGCCCAGCUUCUAGCUAGCGAUCUGCGAUGCGGCACGGACUUUGUAAACACGCCGCGCCUGUGGGGUGGACGCCUGUUGUGUUUGGGUGCCGCGGAAGCGGGGUGCACGCCCCUGUCCUGUCCGUGCUGGCGGCUGUGAUCACGCCUACUGUCCAAAAACAGAUCUCCAGCAGCUGGAGAGAACGUGAGGCCGCCAUCCGAGCUUCGGGGGACUCAACUGCCAAGAGCCCUGAGCCCUGAAAGCUUCUGGAAGGAAGUUGUGGACCAGCAGACCUUCAGGAGGAGAAAGGAGAAGGAUGGCAGUGCUGCCAGAUGGUGCUGCAGCAAGUCUGUGGAAUUCAUUUAAGUAGACAAAAUUCUGGAGCCGGGUUUCCCUGGACUGACAGUGAGGUCUCUUCAACUACCACUGUGCUUCAGUUUGGUGGUCUGCAAAAUAAAGACCUGGAAUGCACCUUGAGGUAGGAGCGACCCAGAUAUGCAGCUAUUAACAUUCCCUGGAGCAGUGAAGUAGGGUGCAAACGUGAAUGAAUGGAUAACUUUGGGCGAGUAAUUCUUUCCU